Molecule: long non-coding RNA, 555 nt
Filed under: Musa acuminata (dwarf banana)
Lineage: Eukaryota; Viridiplantae; Streptophyta; Magnoliopsida; Zingiberales; Musaceae
Description: long non-coding RNA (MACU_LNC004232)
Source: RNAcentral
CUGACUUCAAGGUACUUUAACAAAUACUGUAAAAGAAAACCUAAUUUUAGCUGCUGUACAUGCUUCAGUAAAAAAGUGUUUGGCCGUUUUCAGUAAAGUACUUUAACAAGUACUUGUUAAAUUAAAAAAAAAAAUGAGCCCCAUACUAUGACUCCUGAAUCCGUUUUCUGAAUUAAGCUUUACCAAAUCACCAAAGAAGACCCCUAAAUUUAGGAUCUUUCUUUUAUCCAAGAACACCAAUCUGCGAAGGAACAAUAUUGCAGAAAAUAGGAUUCUUAGAAGAGCAAUUAGCAUCAAAACUACUCGGAUCAGAAGGAAUCAAACCAGGCCUUUCAUGAUCAGCGAAACCCUGAACUAAGGAAGCACCCGCCUUAAAACCCUCAAUUGAAGAAGCACUCGGAGGAGCAGAAUUAGAGGCCAAAACUGGAUCAGAUUUCUGCAAAAAGGCAUAAAGCAAUCGUCCAUCAUCAGAUUCCCUUCCCCGAAGAGCAAGAUCAAUCAAGAGUCAAAUCAUAAAUAUUUCCCGCCUUCCGUCCAGCCCUCCACCCGGGAAUU